This 254-nucleotide ribosomal RNA is filed under the name uncultured prokaryote. RNAcentral's name for it is "partial 16S ribosomal RNA". It matches the Rfam family "Bacterial small subunit ribosomal RNA", at positions 524 to 776 of the family's 1533-position model. The record is from RNAcentral.
CACGUAGGGGGCGAGCGUUGUCCGGAUUUAUUGGGCGUAAAGAGCUCGUAGGCGGUUUCGUAAGUCGGGUGUGAAAACUUCAGGCUCAACCUGGAGACGCCACCUGAGACUGCGAUGACUAGAGUCCGGUAGGGGAGUGUGGAAUUCCUGGUGUAGCGGUGAAAUGCGCAGAUAUCAGGAGGAACACCAACGGCGAAGGCAGCACUCUGGGCCGGAACUGACGCUGAGGAGCGAAAGCGUGGGUAGCGAACAGG